This is a non-coding RNA of Teladorsagia circumcincta, 71 nucleotides long. NCBI's taxonomy places the organism in Eukaryota, Metazoa, Nematoda, Chromadorea, Rhabditida, Trichostrongylidae. The record is from the annotation of a GenBank genome assembly.
GUGACGGUGGUUCAGUAAUAGAAUGCUGGUCUGUCACGCGGGCGGCCCGGGUUCGAUUCCCGGCCGAUGUA